GACGAACGCUGGCGGCGUGCUUAACACAUGCAAGUCGAACGGUGAAGGGACUGGUUUUGCUGGUCCUGGAUGAGUGGCGAACGGGUGAGUAACACGUGAGUAACCUGCCCCCUUCUUCUGGAUAACCGCAUGAAAGUGUGGCUAAUACGGGAUAUUCUGGGUCUGUCGCAUGGUGGGCCUGGGAAAGAUUGCGCCUUUUUUGGUGUUUUUGGUGGGGGAUGGGCUCGCGGCCUAUCAGCUUGUUGGUGGGGUGAUGGCCUACCAAGGCGGUGACGGGUAGCCGGCCUGAGAGGGUGGACGGUCACACUGGGACUGAGACACGGCCCAGACUCCUACGGGAGGCAGCAGUGGGGAAUAUUGCACAAUGGGCGCAAGCCUGAUGCAGCGACGCCGCGUGAGGGGUGGAGGCCUUCGGGUUGUGAACCUCUUUCGCCAGUGAAGCAGGCCUGCCUCUUUUUGUGGGUGGGUUGACGGUAGCUGGAGAAGAAGCGCCGGCUAACUACGUG
Molecule: ribosomal RNA, 506 nt
Filed under: uncultured bacterium
Lineage: Bacteria
Description: partial 16S ribosomal RNA
Rfam family: Bacterial small subunit ribosomal RNA
Source: RNAcentral